UGUUAAAAAUUUUAUCCAUUUGUACUUUUAAAAACUGGUGUGGCUGAUAGAAUAACCAGACAAUAACGCGUGACGUGCUACAUGUACCUCAUGCUGAUGUACAAGAACCAAUUUUUAAUAGUAGGAAUGAAUGAAUUUUUUAAUA
This is a non-coding RNA of Gossypium hirsutum (cotton), 145 nucleotides long. The record is from Rfam. NCBI's taxonomy places the organism in Eukaryota, Viridiplantae, Streptophyta, Magnoliopsida, Malvales, Malvaceae.